UACGAAGGGGGCAAGCGUUGUUCGGAAUUACUGGGCGUAAAGCGCGCGUAGGCGGACCUGCAAGUCGGGGGUGAAAGCCCGAGGCUCAACCUCGGAACUGCCUUCGAUACUGCGGGUCUCGAGUCCGGGAGAGGUGAGUGGAAUUCCUAGUGUAGAGGUGAAAUUCGUAGAUAUUAGGAAGAACACCAGUGGCGAAGGCGGCUCACUGGCCCGGUACUGACGCUGAGGCGCGAAAGCGUGGGGAGCAAACAGG
RNAcentral lists this ribosomal RNA (253 nucleotides) under uncultured bacterium. RNAcentral describes it as "partial 16S ribosomal RNA". It matches the Rfam family "Bacterial small subunit ribosomal RNA", at positions 524 to 776 of the family's 1533-position model. The record is from RNAcentral.